AGAAAUUGAAGAGAAAAGAGACCUUACACAAGCUAAAAAUUUCAUAUUUGGGCCAAUGACACUCUCUAGGUGGUGCUUGAGAUUGAUCUUGGAGUUAAAAAUUUCAUAUUUGGAGAUGGUUUAAUUUAGGAAAAUUUUUAGCAAUAUAGUAAAGGAGAUGGUACAAAAUCUUGAUGCAAAAAGAAGAAAAAAAAGAUGGUAAAAGGGGAGGUGUGGGCAACGGCAACAAUGGAGGAAAAAAGGGAAAAAAAUAAAGAUGA
Molecule: long non-coding RNA, 260 nt
Filed under: Gossypium raimondii (Peruvian cotton)
Lineage: Eukaryota; Viridiplantae; Streptophyta; Magnoliopsida; Malvales; Malvaceae
Description: long non-coding RNA (GRAI_LNC010473)
Source: RNAcentral